CGCGUCCCGCCACGGCCGCCCAGCCCGCGCCUGCCCAAGCCACCGCCUCCGGGCGGCCAAUUUAAUCCCGCGGAGCUGCGGCCGACGCCGCGGGAGCCCCCCUCGUCGCUGCCGCCGCCCGGCCCUCGUGCGGCCAGCCCAGUCCAGAGCGAGGAAGUGAAGGAGAGUCAGCGAGCUGAGGACUGUAAACGACCAGUGACAAAUCAGCCCUUGUAUCCUGGACCGGGAUCUAAGCUACAACAUCUCGCCUUGCUUCCCAGAGGCAGCAGUGUCUCCGAGUGUAGCUGUGGAUGCUUCUGUGUGCAUUCAGGAGCAGGUUUCCAAACAGUGAACUCAACAAAGACACCAAGACUACCAUUUCUCAGCCCCUUUUCAAACCUUUCUCUAUCUUUGUCUUAUAGUUCUAUACUUAUCUUAUAUUUCAAUUAUGCCACUAAAAAGUUUCUACCGGGUGAACAUACUUAGUAUAAUGUUCUCUCUUCAGCUGUUUGAGAGCAGUUUUGUGUCUGACUAGAGCCAAAGUUCUUAUCGUAGUUCUUUAAGCAUUAUACGUACUUCAUGAAUAUUUGAGGAAGGAAGGGAAGGAUGCAGAUAGGAAGAGAGAAAGAGGAAAUUAAUUGGUUGUCAAUCGCCCCUUUUAUGAGAAAUAUCAUUUUCUUUAAAAAGCUUCCUGCAGUCUCUUAUGUAGAAUAAAUUUGCUCUGCCUCUGGUCUCA
Molecule: long non-coding RNA, 715 nt
Organism: Pteropus alecto (black flying fox)
Lineage: Eukaryota; Metazoa; Chordata; Mammalia; Chiroptera; Pteropodidae
Exons: 2
Source: RefSeq, a predicted model, not a curated record